UGUGGAUCUCUGAAACGUUGUUCCGAUGGAAACAAUUGUUUAUCCUGUGGCCUAUCCAUCGGCGUCAUCCACUUCUUCAACUCUGGAUUCCGUGCCAUGUAAGACGGAUAAUCGUGGACCUCAUCGACUUCUCUGCGGUCGCGCUCAACAGGAUGCUGUUUCAAUACUGCGUCCACAGAAGAAAUCUGAAUCGGAAGUUGCAGGGAAUCGUCACCCCCACGAACUUGACUAGAGCCGGAAUUAGACACUGUACUGACCGAUGACGAAGACGAGGACGAACAGGUUCAUCCGCGACGGAAGCUGCUCUCGGGAGAUAUUGACGAAUCAUCUCCUGUACUACACUACGCACAAAUUCUUCAUCACGCUGAUCGGAUCCCUUUUUAAUCGGGGCUAACUGGACUGGUGUAGUUUCCUUAA
This is a long non-coding RNA of Paramacrobiotus metropolitanus, 417 nucleotides long. RefSeq lists it as uncharacterized. The record is from RefSeq and is a predicted model, not a curated record. The transcript is spliced from 3 exons. Lineage: Eukaryota; Metazoa; Tardigrada; Eutardigrada; Parachela; Macrobiotidae.